GAAUGGCUCAUUAAACCAGUUAUAGUUUAUUUGAUAAUCAAAAUUACAUGGAUAACCGUGGUAAUUCUAGAGCUAAUACAUGCUGGUUAGCCUGACUUUUGCGGAAGGGCUGUAUUUAUUAGAUAACAAACCAAUAUUCCCCGUGUCUAUUGUGACGAAUCAUAAUAACUGAUCGAAUCGCAUGGGCUUUGCCCGCGAUACAUCAUUCAAGUUUCUGCCCCAUCAGCUUUCGAUGGUAGUGUAUUGGACUACCAUGGCGUUCACGGGUAACGGAGGAUUAGGGUUCGAUUCCGGAGAGGGAGCCUGAGAAACGGCUACCACAUCUAAGGAAGGCAGCAGGCGCGUAAAUUACCCAAUCCUGACUCAGGGAGGUAGUGACAAGAAAUAACGGACCGAAGCCUAUGUUUCGGGAUUGCAAUGAGUAGAAUUUACACCCCUUUACGAGGAUCAAUUGGAGGGCAAGUCUGGUGCCAGCAGCCGCGGUAAUUCCAGCUCCAAUAGCAUAUAUUAAAGUUGUUGCAGUUAAAAAGCUCGUAGUUGGAUUUCUGGGAGGGCGCCAAUGUCCGCUCGUUGCGUGUGCAGCGGUGCCCUUCCAUCCUUCUGUUAACGUCUCUGAUAUUCAUUUAUUGGUUUCGGGCUCAGAUAUUUUACCUUGAGAAAAUUAGAGUGUUCCAGGCAGGCUUGCGCCGGAAUACAUUAGCAUGGAAUAAUAGAAUAGGACUUUAGUCUCCUUUGUUGGUUUGAGGGACUGAAGUAAUGAUUAAUAGGGAUAGUUGGGGGCAUUAGUAUUUAAUUGUCAGAGGUGAAAUUCUCGGAUUUGUUAAAGACUAACUUAUGCGAAAGCAUUUGCCAAGGAUGUUUUCAUUAAUCAAGAACGAAAGUUAGGGGAUCAAAGACGAUCAGAUACCGUCCUAGUCUUAACCAUAAACUAUGCCGACUAGGGAUCGGAGGCGCGCCUUAUCCGCCUUCGGCACCUUAUGAGAAAUCAAAGUCUUUGGGUUCUGGGGGGAGUAUGGUCGCAAGGCUGAAACUUAAAGGAAUUGACGGAAGGGCACCACCAGGAGUGGAGCUUGCGGCUCAAUUUGACUCAACACGGGAAAACUUACCAGGUCCAGACAUAGUGAGGAU
Molecule: ribosomal RNA, 1128 nt
Filed under: Stichotrichia sp. 1 cPFT4
Lineage: Eukaryota; Ciliophora; Spirotrichea
Description: SSU rRNA
Rfam family: Eukaryotic small subunit ribosomal RNA
Source: RNAcentral